AUGGGAUUGCGUUUCAUUGCAUUCUAAUUCAUACUAGAACAUACCGUGCUAUAUUGCAUUGUAAGCUAGCAUCUGGCAAUACAUUCACUGGGAGGCCUGGGUGUGCGGCAUGUGCGGUCCCUGCGCUAACAUGUGCUUCAGUCAGUUGCGUCAUUAUGUAAGGGGCUUGCAGUAUCCUCCCCACUCGGGAGCAUCCCGGGAGCAGCGGCGGGGCCCUUUCUGCGGACACCAGAGCACUCGGCCAAGGCAGCCGCGUCAGCGCGCGACCGGGCAUGUUGCUAACGUGGCACUGGGAGGCCAAGGAUAACAAACUCUGAGCUUUGUGAAAGUACCUGAAAGGAAUGCACUGCUUAGAGCCAGCUACCAAGGUGGAUUGGUUCAUGGAUGAGGAU
Molecule: long non-coding RNA, 392 nt
Filed under: Dasypus novemcinctus (nine-banded armadillo)
Lineage: Eukaryota; Metazoa; Chordata; Mammalia; Cingulata; Dasypodidae
Description: lncRNA (ENSDNOG00000050748.1)
Source: RNAcentral